GCCGAAGUGGCGAAAUCUGGCAGACGCGCCAUCUUGAGGGGGUGGUGAGCGAAAGCUCUUGAGGGUUCAAAUCCCUCCUUCGGCACCA
This 88-nucleotide transfer RNA is filed under the name Dehalococcoidales bacterium. Its description in RNAcentral is "tRNA-Leu". It matches the Rfam family "tRNA". From Rfam's summary of the family: Transfer RNA (tRNA) molecules are approximately 80 nucleotides in length. Their secondary structure includes four short double-helical elements and three loops (D, anti-codon, and T loops). Lineage: Bacteria; Bacillati; Chloroflexota; Dehalococcoidia; Dehalococcoidales. The record is from RNAcentral.